Molecule: ribosomal RNA, 483 nt
Filed under: uncultured bacterium
Lineage: Bacteria
Description: partial 16S ribosomal RNA
Rfam family: Bacterial small subunit ribosomal RNA
Source: RNAcentral
AGUGAACGCUGGCGGCGUGCUUGACACAUGCAAGUCGAACGAGAACGGAUUAUAGCUUGCUAUAAUUGUCAGCUAAGUGGCGCACGGGUGAGUAAUGUAUAGGUAAUAUGCCUCUUACUAGGGGAUAACAAUUGGAAACGAUUGCUAAUACCUUAUAUUCCUUUUUAUCAAAAGAUAAAAAGGGAAAGAUUUAUUGGUAAGAGAUUAGCCUGUAUUGUAUCAGUUAGUUGGUGGGGUAAUGGCCUACCAAGACAAUGACGCAUAACUGGUUUGGAAGAAGGAUCGGUAACACGGGACCGAGACCACGGCCCGAACUCUAAGGGGGGGAAGAAGUGGGAAAUAUGCACAAUGGACCAAAGUCUGAAUCAACCACGGCGCCUGGGAGAAGAAAACUUUCGGGUCGUUAAAUUCUUUUAUAUAAGAAGAUAAUGACGGUAUUAUAUGAAUAAGCACCGGCUAACUCCGUGCCAGCCGCCGCGGUAA